Long non-coding RNA from Pygocentrus nattereri (red-bellied piranha), 844 nucleotides. RefSeq lists it as uncharacterized. The record is from RefSeq and is a predicted model, not a curated record. Lineage: Eukaryota; Metazoa; Chordata; Actinopteri; Characiformes; Serrasalmidae. The transcript is spliced from 4 exons.
GUGGUGGUGGUGGUGUUACAGUGUGGGCAGGUGUGUCCAGUCAAUACAGAACAGCCCUACACUGUGAAUGGUGCAGUGACCCAGUGGCCCAAACUACUGAAUCACGUCAUUAAUCCAGUCACUGCGCCUCUGCAUGAACAACACAGGCCUCAUGGACGACGAAGCUCCAGCUCAUCGAGGGCGCAUCAUUAGGGAGCGGCUGCUGGAGACCGGGGUACCUCAGGCAACAGAAGCAUUUCGAGAAAUAUCUUUCUGUGAGGGAGCUUUUAGAGGUAGACGUCUGGUUCCUAUCGACACCACUGUGAAGAGUUCCUGACUCAUGAGUAGCUCCAUCGCCUCACGGCAAGAAGGGCCUGGGCUCGAUUCCCAGCUGGGUGACCAGUGUCCUUUCUGUGUGGAUCCACCAGUGCUGGACGAUGUGCCCAAACCAUAUUUCCCAUGACUAACUAUGAGUGACAUCACUGAAAAGUGGAAGCGUUUAGGAACGACAGCGACUCAGACACGAAGUGUCAGACCACGUAAAGUUACAGAGCGGGUCGGCGAGUUCUGAGGAGCAUAGAGCAUAAAAGUCACCAAUGCUCUGCUCAUCAAUAACGGAAGAGUUCAAACCUCCUCUGGCAUCAACAUCAGCACAGAAACUGCACCGGGAGCUUCAUGGCAGGGUUUCCAUGGUCGAGCAGCUGCAUGAAGCCUUACAUCACCAAGCACGAUGCCAAGCAUUGGCUGGAGUGGAGUAAGUCACCGCCACUGGACUCUGGAGCAGUGGAAACGUGUUCGGUGGAGUGACCAAUCAGCUUCUCUAUCGGUCAGUCUGAUGGACGAGUCUGGGUUUGCCAGGAGAACG